CACGUAGGGCGCAAGCGUUGUCCGGAAUUAUUGGGCGUAAAGAGCUCGUAGGCGGUCUGUUGCGUCCGCUGUGAAAACUCGGGGCUUAACCCCGAGCCUGCAGUGGAUACGGGCAGACUAGAGGGAGGUAGGGGCGGAUGGAACUUCCGGUGGAGCGGUGAAAUGUGUUGAUAUCGGAAGGAACGCCGGUGGCGAAAGCGAUCCGCUGGACCUCUUCUGACACUGAGGCGCGAAAGCCAGGGGAGCAAACGGG
This 253-nucleotide ribosomal RNA is filed under the name uncultured bacterium. RNAcentral describes it as "partial 16S ribosomal RNA". It matches the Rfam family "Bacterial small subunit ribosomal RNA", at positions 524 to 776 of the family's 1533-position model. The record is from RNAcentral.